Molecule: long non-coding RNA, 726 nt
Organism: Raphanus sativus (radish)
Lineage: Eukaryota; Viridiplantae; Streptophyta; Magnoliopsida; Brassicales; Brassicaceae
Exons: 4
Source: RefSeq, a predicted model, not a curated record
UUUCUUUUCAUUGAUUCAGCUCGAAAACAACAAUUUCUCUCUCCCUCUUUCUAUUACCACCGAACAGUUCAUCAUACAUAUUUUUUUUUCCGAACAGAUCUUAUCUGAUUCCUCAUCGGUUAGUUUCAUACUUCUCAGAUCCGUUCAGAUGUGACGAAUCAUCUUUUUCAUCCGAUGAUAGAUGUUAUUCUUUCACUUACGAGUGACUUGAUCUUGUCUAACAUUGAAGAAAAGCCGAGGGAAGAAAAGUUUGAGAAAACCAAAGCGUUGAAAGAAACUCGUCUUUUGUCUCUAUAUCAUUCACCAAGCGUGACUCAGAGCUUGUGAUCGUCAGCCACUUCUCACUCUUACUGGGGUGUGCGUUUCCAAUAUGGAUGUCUUCUGGGUUCAGUGACAGAGCUUUAUCCCCAUUUGCCGGAAUCCUCAGCCUCAUGAUUGAAGAUACAAUGGGUGAUGGAGUGAUAUCAGUGCUAUAGAUGAAACUGAUCUUGUAUUGAUGAUUGGUAGGCCCGAAGGUAACACCGGGGUUAGUAAUGGAAAAAAAUUCAAUGAAUCUCCACAUUCCAACAUGUACUUUCUUUGCAAACUUAUCCCAGUAUGUCUUCUUACAGGAUGCCAGUAUUUUUGUUCCCUUCAAAAUAAAUAAGUCCAGCGAUUUAGAUAGUAUCGAUUUAUAUAUCUAUUAGUAAACAGAAAACAGAAAACAAAGAAUAUCGGGUAGCUAAA